UUGCAACAUCUUCAAGAUUCAGAAAUCAUUUUCUUUUAUGGGUUCUCCUUUGGAGCCUAUAUUAUUUGGUUUGAGAAUCUUGAUGAUGCUGCAG
This 94-nucleotide microRNA precursor is filed under the name Camelina sativa (false flax). Its description in RNAcentral is "miR172d stem-loop (cas-MIR172d)". Its record names the gene cas-MIR172d. Lineage: Eukaryota; Viridiplantae; Streptophyta; Magnoliopsida; Brassicales; Brassicaceae. The record is from miRBase by way of RNAcentral.